GCCUUCGUGGUAUAGUGGUCAGCACGCUGGGCGCGUAUUCCAGAGGUCCGUGGUUCGAUUCCCGGCGAAGGUG
Molecule: transfer RNA, 73 nt
Filed under: Stegodyphus mimosarum
Lineage: Eukaryota; Metazoa; Arthropoda; Arachnida; Araneae; Eresidae
Rfam family: tRNA
About the family: Transfer RNA (tRNA) molecules are approximately 80 nucleotides in length. Their secondary structure includes four short double-helical elements and three loops (D, anti-codon, and T loops).
Source: Rfam by way of RNAcentral